GGUGGGUGGGCAGGACGGUAAUGCGCGAGUCUUGAAAACUCGUGGGCGCAAGCCCUAACAGGUUCGACCCCUGUACCCACCGCCA
Molecule: transfer RNA, 85 nt
Filed under: Candidatus Woesebacteria bacterium RIFOXYA1_FULL_43_16
Lineage: Bacteria; Candidatus Woeseibacteriota
Also listed under: 3 other names
Description: tRNA-Ser
Rfam family: tRNA
About the family: Transfer RNA (tRNA) molecules are approximately 80 nucleotides in length.
Source: RNAcentral